ACCCGGAUCUGGAGGUGUCUUGGGAGCAGGAGGUGUACCAGGAUUGGUAGGAGUUCUGCCUGGAGGGCUUGGGACUGGUGCUGGAUAUGGAGGGUAUGGAGGAGCACAAAAACCACCUAAAUAUGGACAACCAGCUGGUGGGGUCGGAAGUGUGUUGGGUGGGUCGGUACCAGCAACUGGUGGAACUGGGGCCACAGGAACUGGAAUUGGAACUGGUGAUGAUA
Long non-coding RNA from Sinocyclocheilus rhinocerous, 224 nucleotides. RefSeq lists it as uncharacterized. The transcript has 4 exons. The record is from RefSeq and is a predicted model, not a curated record. Lineage: Eukaryota; Metazoa; Chordata; Actinopteri; Cypriniformes; Cyprinidae.